This 719-nucleotide long non-coding RNA is filed under the name Olea europaea subsp. europaea. Lineage: Eukaryota; Viridiplantae; Streptophyta; Magnoliopsida; Lamiales; Oleaceae. The record is from RNAcentral.
GAAAGAUUAAACUCGACAAUUUUGGGUAAUUUUCCCAAUCCGGUUAGCGUGGCAGGGCCCACCCAACGACUAUUGCUUAAGGAGUCUCGAAAACAUACAAAUCAAGAUCCCCACCAAAGCCAUUUACCUUCCUCUUACACACAGAAUUCCGAUAUACAUCCCGAUUCCGUCCCACCCAACAAUUAUUGCUUAAGGAGUCUCGAAAACAUACAAAUCAAGAUCCCCACCAAAGCCAUUUACCUUCCUCUUACACACAGAAUUCCGAUAUACAUCCCGAUUCCGGUUGCGAUUUCAAAAUCCCAACCAAAAACCGAUUCUUCAUCGCUGUUGAACUGAAUCCAUCCAAUUGCGAUAUAUUAUAUUCUAUCGUAAUAUUUGGUCAGUACUCUACAAUUCCCAUUUUUCUGGGAACUUCGAUAUCUUUAUAAUUUAUAAUUUCGUGUUAAUGUUACGGAUGGGUCUUUUUUUUUUUUUUUUUUUUUAAAUUAUAGGAAUGCAGAGCCAGAUAGUGUGCAACGGGUGUAGAAGCCUUCUUAUGUACCCGAGUGGAGCAACCAAUGUCUGCUGCGCCGUGUGUAAUACCAUCACUUCUGUGCCUCCUCCAGGUAAAAUUGAAUUCGGAAUUUCAGCGAAGCUGUCAUUUCUUUGAGUGUUCAUCGAAAAAUGUUGAAUUCUUUUCUUUUUAAUUGAAUAUCAUAUAAUUUGUUUGCAUUUAAUAG